RNAcentral lists this ribosomal RNA (468 nucleotides) under uncultured bacterium. RNAcentral's name for it is "partial 16S ribosomal RNA". It matches the Rfam family "Bacterial small subunit ribosomal RNA", at positions 28 to 507 of the family's 1533-position model. The record is from RNAcentral.
GACGAACGCUGGCGGCGUGCUUAACACAUGCAAGUCGAACGGAAAGGCCCUGCUUAUGUGCGGUCCUCGAGUGGCGAACGGGUGAGUAACACGUGAGUAACCUGCACUUGACUUUGGUAUAACUUCAGGAAACUGAGUCUAAUACCGGAUAGGAGCUCCUGCUGCUUGGUGGGGGUUGGAUAGUUUCGCGUGUUGGGGAUGGACUCGCGUCUUAUCAGCUUGUUGCAGGGGUAGUGUCUUACCAAGGCCAUGACGGGUAGCAGGCCUGAGAGGAUGACCGGCCACGUUGGGACUGGGAUGCGGCCCAGACUCCUAUGGGAGGCAGGAGUGGAGAAUAUUGCACAAUGGGAUGAAGCCUGGUGUAGCAACGCCGCGUGCGGUAUGACAGCCUUCGGGUUGUAAACCGCUUUCGCCUGUGACGAAGCGUGAGUGACGGUAAUGGGUAAAGAAGCACCGGCUAACUACGUG